RNAcentral lists this long non-coding RNA (354 nucleotides) under Brachypodium distachyon (stiff brome). RNAcentral describes it as "long non-coding RNA (BDIS_LNC001916)". Lineage: Eukaryota; Viridiplantae; Streptophyta; Magnoliopsida; Poales; Poaceae. The record is from RNAcentral.
AAUUUCCUCGGACACCAACAAUCAGAUUUUUUUUUUCAAUUGGACGAAGACCAUUUUUAGUUUCCUUGGACACCAACAUGCAGUUAGAUUUUUUUUUCUUCUAGACCACUGUAUCUUCAUCAUCCAACUAUCAAAAGGGAAAAGAAAUUAGCAGACUGCGAUCGAGUAAGCAUCACCAGGUUAUUCUUUAAUCUCUCGAAGUUAAUUAAUUAAUGAAGAGAUAACCUGCCGGCCAAACCUAUUGACCAAUCUGAACGGAGCGCAAAGAAUCAUCAGGCUGCGGUUUCACAGAUUCGUGCCGUGUAGCUUGCUCUCUCGGACUGCCGCUAGCUAGCUAGCUUCCAGCUGGUUGAC